Sitophilus oryzae (rice weevil) is the source of this 613-nucleotide long non-coding RNA. RefSeq lists it as uncharacterized. The record is from RefSeq and is a predicted model, not a curated record. The transcript has 2 exons. NCBI's taxonomy places the organism in Eukaryota, Metazoa, Arthropoda, Insecta, Coleoptera, Curculionidae.
AUCAAUUUGUCAGAUGUCAGAUUAUGUUUAGGUUAUGUUAUGAAAUAUUUUCUUUCCAAAUGCAAAAGAUGAAUUUACUUUGUCCAAAAAUAUAUUCGUUUCUAUAGCAGAAUUUAACAAUUCUACAGUUUUCGCCUUCGACACUAUAUUUAGAAAAUUGUAUCAAUCCUUCAACGUAAAUCCUGUUAAUUGUUAAGAUAACAUGCUUACAUUAACUAAAUCAGUAAUAUCCUUGACAAGGAGUUUAUAUCCAAAUGUUGUUAAUAAAGUAGCCCAAUUUCAUGCCAUAGGUAAUGGUGCACUAAAUUUUGUGAAGGAAGACUCCUUCUUAAGACCUACGACCAAUAUUUUUACCAGUAUUUGUGGAUUUAAAGUAAUGGGAAAAGUGAGAAAACGAUGCAAAGAUUGUUAUAUGGUUUGGAGAGAACAGAGGCUAUAUGUUAUUUGUAAUACACACAGAAGACAUAAGCAAAUGUCUAUGGUAAAAAGGCCUGAAAAUACAUGGAUUUUGUCACACGCAACUCAGUCAAAGAAAAGGCCAUGGUAGAUUAUCAAAAUUAAAAUAUAGCUUGUAUAUAUAAAAUAGUUGUGGUUAGUAAAUUUCAUACCAAUA